GUAGUCAUAUGCUUGUCUCAAAGAUUAAGCCAUGCAUGUCUAAGUAUAAGCAACUAUACGGUGAAACUGCGAAUGGCUCAUUAUAUCAGUUAUCGUUUAUUUGAUAGUACCUUACUACAUGGAUAACCGUGGUAAUUCUAGAGCUAAUACAUGCUAAAAACCUCGUCUUCGGAAGGGGUGUAUUUAUUAGAUAAAAAACCAAUGCCCUUCGGGGCUCCUUGGUGAAUCAUAAUAACUUAACGAAUCGCAUGGCCUUGCGCCGGCGAUGGUUCAUUCAAAUUUCUGCCCUAUCAACUUUCGAUGGUAGGAUAGUGGCCUACCAUGGUAUCAACGGGUACGGGGAAU
Molecule: ribosomal RNA, 345 nt
Filed under: uncultured Cladosporium
Lineage: Eukaryota; Fungi; Ascomycota; Dothideomycetes; Cladosporiales; Cladosporiaceae
Description: SSU rRNA
Rfam family: Eukaryotic small subunit ribosomal RNA
Source: RNAcentral